This 987-nucleotide long non-coding RNA is filed under the name Pan troglodytes (chimpanzee). RNAcentral describes it as "long non-coding RNA NONPTRT000489". The record is from RNAcentral. Lineage: Eukaryota; Metazoa; Chordata; Mammalia; Primates; Hominidae.
CAUGGAGGAGUGACUUCACCAACAUCACUCAUAGGUGCUUGUGUCCAUGGUGAGAAGGGUGAUGGAGAGAAGUGGCUGCAGUUCCCACCCAUGGAGAGGUCACUGGUGAAUCCCAGCUAAAGAGGAAGGACAGGCCCGGCCUGAGUCCCACAGGUGGGCUCAGCCCCUCUCCUUACCGAAUGUAGCCAACUUGAGGCCGGUGCAGAAGCUGCCAGCGAUAGGAGGUCUUGUCCCGCCAGCCCACAUUUCGUGGGUCUGUCCACAGCAGUCGUACCUGAUCAGGGGUGUGGCCAGUAUGCCACAGGGCAUUUCGGAGGUGCUCACCUGGGCCAGACACUGAUGUCACUGCCUAGGAGACAUUGGCAAAGACAGUGAGUCAACUGCAGAACUGGAGUGAGGGGAGACAACAGGUCGGCUUACCAUCUGAGUCCUUCUGAUUGGGAUUGGGUACCAGGCGGCAGUUAUCAGGACCAGGAGGCACAUAAUCUGGGAUGCCAUCAUUGUCAUCAUCCCCAUCACACUCAUCUCCAAGUCCAUCGUUAUCAGAGUCCAGCUGGGAGCUAUUUGGCAGCUGUGGGCAGUUGUCCUUGGUGUCCUGAUGCCCAUCCCCAUCGCUAAUCAGAAGAACAGUCCACACUCUGCCUAACGCUACGCCCUACCUCACAUUCCUAUUGACAUCUGCUGCAGGUAAUCUCUCCUCACCCAGGCCAACGUCCACAAGCCUGCCUCCCUACUUCACAGAGACUUCCUAGCUUCCCUGCUUCAUCCCCACCUGAUCCAAAUUCUCACAGGUCCCCCAGCCACCCCUUCAGCCCCAGGCCUGCACCAUCCCCAUCCACGUCGUUGUCACAGGCAUCUCCUUCCCCAUUGCCAUCUGUGUCCUUCUGGUCAUUGUUGGGAACGUUGGGGCAAUUGUCACAGGCAUCACCAAAUGAAUCUGUAUCUGAGUUCUGCUGGUCUUUGUUGGGGAACAGCCGGCAGUUGUCC